Phoenix dactylifera (date palm) is the source of this 593-nucleotide non-coding RNA. Lineage: Eukaryota; Viridiplantae; Streptophyta; Magnoliopsida; Arecales; Arecaceae. The record is from RefSeq and is a predicted model, not a curated record.
AAUCACGAACCGUUCUCCAAUACACGGACAGUAGGUGAUCCACAACGGGACCUCUCCGAACUCGUUUGGAUUAGAACUCUGCAGCGCACAAGGAGAGGGUAGCCGGAGAGGUGAUCUUCGGAUCUUCCCCGUUGGACGGAGUCUCGGCCAGAUAGGUAGCCUCGACGUUGCCCGCCAUGGUCAACGACGAGGUCGGCACCAAGCUCGUCCGCUUUCUCUACUUCGUCGGCGCCGGAGUCAUCUGCACCAAGGGGAUCAACCUCUGGAAAGACUACGAGCGGAAGGCCGCCAUGAAGACGGCCGAAACCCCUCAGGCUCCGGCAGAGAUGGUAAACGGAGCUGCCGCCACCCCUAAAUCUUGAAUCUUGAUUAGGGUUUCCUUCUGCCCCUGAUUCCUUCUAUCUUCUCUUUCUGUUUAUGUUAAUUCAUUCAUGAAUUUCCAUAAAACUUAGUCAGGCCGUGCUGGUUUUAGCUGGACAUCAGGAAAAUGGAUUGAAAUAUGUACAAAAAUUACUGCAAUAACGCUUUUAUUGAGUAAGAUUGGACUUUUUAUCUCGACAUUCUCUUGAUAAGAAUCUUUGAAUUAUUUACAA